Molecule: long non-coding RNA, 455 nt
Organism: Panthera uncia (snow leopard)
Lineage: Eukaryota; Metazoa; Chordata; Mammalia; Carnivora; Felidae
Exons: 2
Source: RefSeq, a predicted model, not a curated record
AGUUAUGGGGCAGAUGUAAUAGACCAACAAAAUGAAUAUCAAAAAGUUAUUUGUAACUUGCUUAGAACACACAGCUGUUGGGGAGUUCCAUGAUAGCACAAUCAGAAGAUACUGAGUCAGAGUCUCCAUCCACAGCAGAGAAGAAGUGGAAUUCCCAUGGCUCUUGGACCCAUGGCUGGCAUUAUAUCUCCUAGUGAGGCAUCAACAUACCUCUUCCUGUUGCAAGGUACUGGAAGUGCUGAGGUGCCAGAAAGAGGAUGGAACUGCCACCAGAAGUUGGCAACAGCUGAACAUUGCUAUGACCUAAUGCUGGAAGGACAAAGGCAAAGAUGGAAUCACUAGAAUCUAAGAGCUUUCAUCACCCAGCAGAAGCUAAAGCCAUGGUGAACUACCACACCUUUAUUUGGCCAAACCUCCUGGACACUGGUAGAGCAAUGAAAAUUUGCUAUUGGGAA